RNAcentral lists this ribosomal RNA (492 nucleotides) under uncultured bacterium. RNAcentral's name for it is "partial 16S ribosomal RNA". It matches the Rfam family "Bacterial small subunit ribosomal RNA", at positions 29 to 507 of the family's 1533-position model. The record is from RNAcentral.
AGUGAACGCUGGCGGUAGGCCUAACACAUGCAAGUCGAACGGCAGCACAGUAAGAGCUCGCUCUUACGGGUGGCGAGUGGCGGACGGGUGAGGAAUACAUCGGAAUCUACUUUUUCGUGGGGGAUAACGUAGGGAAACUUACGCUAAUACCGCAUAUGACCUACGGGUGAAAGCAGGGGAUCUUCGGACCUUGCGCGAUUGAAUGAGCCGAUGUCGGAUUAGCUAGUUGGCGGGGUAAAGGCCCACCAAGGCGACGAUCCGUAGCUGGUCUGAGAGGAUGAUCAGCCACACUGGAACUGAGACACGGUCCAGACUCCUACGGGAGGCAGCAGUGGGGAAUAUUGGACAAUGGGCGCAAGCCUGAUCCAGCCAUACCGCGUGGGUGAAGAAGGCCUUCGGGUUGUAAAGCCCUUUUGUUGGGAAAGAAAAGCAGCAGGUUAAUACCCCGCUGUUCUGACGGUACCCAAAGAAUAAGCACCGGCUAACUUCGUG